Molecule: ribosomal RNA, 307 nt
Filed under: uncultured cyanobacterium
Lineage: Bacteria; Bacillati; Cyanobacteriota
Description: bacterial SSU rRNA
Rfam family: Bacterial small subunit ribosomal RNA
Source: RNAcentral
GACGAACGCUGGCGGCGUGCUUCAUACAUGCAAGUCGAACGAUAAGGCCCUUUCGGGGGCACAUAAGUGGCGGACGGGUGAGUAAUAUGUAGAGAAUCUGCCUUUAGGCGGGGGACAACAGAGGGAAACUUCUGCUAAUACCCCAUAUGAGCGUAACUGAGAUGUUAUUCUUGAAAGCUCCGGCGCCUAGAGAUGAGUCUGCAUCUGAUUAGCUAGUUGGCGGGGUAAUGGCCCACCAAGGCGACGAUCAGUAGCUGGUUUGAGAGGAUGAUCAGCCACAAUGGGACUGAGACACGGCCCAUACUCC